This 460-nucleotide ribosomal RNA is filed under the name uncultured bacterium. RNAcentral describes it as "partial 16S ribosomal RNA". It matches the Rfam family "Bacterial small subunit ribosomal RNA", at positions 338 to 795 of the family's 1533-position model. The record is from RNAcentral.
CCUACGGGAGGCAGCAGUGAGGAAUAUUGGUCAAUGGACGAGAGUCUGAACCAGCCAAGUAGCGUGAAGGAUGACUGCCCUAUGGGUUGUAAACUUCUUUUAUAUGGGAAUAAAAUGUUCCACGUGUGGGAUUUUGUAUGUACCAUAUGAAUAAGGAUCGGCUCACUCCGUGCCAGCAGCCGCGGUAAUACGGAGGAUCCGAUCGUUAUCCGGAUUUAUUGGGUUGAACGGGAGCGUAGGUGGAUUGUUAAGUCAGUUGUGAAAGUUUGCGGCGCAACCGGAAAAUUGCAGUUGACACUGGCAGUCUUGAGUACAGUAGAGGUGGGCGGAAUUCGUGGUGUAGCGGUGAAAUGCUUAGAUAUCACGAAGAACUCCGAUGGCGAAGGCAGCUCACUGGACUGCAACUGACACUGAGGCUCGAAAGUGUGGGUAGCAAACAGGAUUAGAUACCCCUGUAGUC